AGAUGAAACAUCUUACCGGACGGCGUUAGAGUUAUUGUUACGUCUAAUACUGUCAGGUAAAGAUGUCUCAAAC
Molecule: microRNA precursor, 73 nt
Filed under: Leptotrombidium deliense
Lineage: Eukaryota; Metazoa; Arthropoda; Arachnida; Trombidiformes; Trombiculidae
Description: mir-8/mir-141/mir-200 microRNA precursor family
Rfam family: mir-8/mir-141/mir-200 microRNA precursor family
About the family: The bounds of the precursors are predicted based on conservation and base pairing and are not generally known.
Source: RNAcentral